Molecule: long non-coding RNA, 2941 nt
Organism: Galleria mellonella (greater wax moth)
Lineage: Eukaryota; Metazoa; Arthropoda; Insecta; Lepidoptera; Pyralidae
Exons: 4
Source: RefSeq, a predicted model, not a curated record
GAUGGGCUAACUGACCUGCCUUUUCAUUCUCAUCGAUUAUCCUUCAUUGAUACCACGCCAGCGUAUACCGUUAGUGCAAGCGGGGCUACCAAUCCAUUAGCGUCCAUUAAAAAAAUAAUCACACCCUAGAACCGUUAAGGCGCUAAAAGAUUACAAACAAAUUCCCUUUCAUAUUUUAAUGUUAGUAAGUAUUAUAUUAGGGAAACGACAUCUUUCGCCCCUUAUAAUCUUGUUGUGGCAAAUCUAAUAUGAAGAACGCCAUAUCCAGGGGAAUACUAAGAGACCACCAUGAACUGCUACAACUACUCCAAAGCUGACAAAUAUGUAGUUUUAAUACUCAGUUAAUAUGGUGGCGUGGUGGUAGCGGGAGCGUCGGGUGCACGGGCGCGCCAUAGCCAAGUUCCCCCCAGAAUUCUGGCGUCGCAUUCCGCUUGGUCAUUCCACGAGUCAUAAUUCCACGAGCAUAUGUACCGAUCCGAUCCGAGCAUUGAGGAUGUGAAUGUGGAGGCAUCAAGAAUUAAAAGCCUUUUAAUGACAACCUGCAAGCGACAUCGGCUGGAUGGUGUUACGCAGAAGAACACCAUGAAAAUUAAAUAAAUAAAUAAAUAAAUAUUUUCACGAUUUCUUAAUUAGUCAAAGGCAAUUGUAGACUGUUGUCAUCGUGAUUAAUGUAAAAUUCGCUAUGCCCACAAUUCGCCGAUCAUAUUAAUAUCUAAAUAGAUUAAAAAGACACUAAAGAUGCAAAAAUAAAUUAUAUGUUUUUCUAAUAAUAGACAAAUUAUUUUAGAAGGCGUUCAAGUAUUUUUGAAGCAAUUUUUGAAGAUUUUUCACCUUUUUUUCCCCACUAUGUAACACGUCGUAACAUUUAUUUGCAUGCCUCUCCCGCUCCCUAAACGAUAUAAACAAUGUAUUCUCCGUAAAACAUAAACAAAAAGAGUUGGCGACUUGGAAGAUUUAAAUUCUCUAGUUUAUUAUAUAAUUAAGAAAAAAUCAAUGUUACGUAACGUGUUAUUCGAACUCCACUCCCACUCCUGUAACGCAUCGUAACGUUUUACAAAAGCUCCCUUUCCUCGAAUUGUGUUACGUAAUACUUGAACGCCUCCAUAUUAGAUUUAAAAAUAAGAGAAUCGAAUAUGGGAUUACAUUAUUACACUUUAACUGCAAACGUAAUUUCGGAUUUGACCCAAAUCAAAAUAUUUGUGCAUAUCGAGUGUUAUGUUCCCCACAUUUUGUUUUGCUUUAUUUUAUUUUAUGAAAAAAAAAUAACAAUAACAAAUUGAGAACAGACAAUGAGUUUCUUCUUAUUUUUUUGUUUCAUUAGUUCUUUUUUUAUUCAAUGUAUAAUAUAUGUAUAAUGUGAGUAUUAUAUAGGUUAUUUUAAAAUUAAUGUUUUAAUAUUAAUUUUGAUUUUUCUAUUUAAUUGCUCAUUACGUUGCACUGUCAAUUAUAUUUUUUGUUAUUCCUGCUAAACAGUCGACUGGUAGAUAACGCCAUAUGGUCUAAAUCUGCCAUUUUCACUAAGUGUAAAGUUGUUAUAAAUAAAAAAGGUAAUGAAGUGUCACUCCCGUUACUGGGGCAGUCAACAUGGUUACUUUUGGCAUAACACCGUCACCCCUAAGUGCUCUUCGCUUCUUAAAACCACCUAUGGUUUUAUCGAAAAGCGUGCACGUACAGACUGAAUGAACGAUUUUCUAUUUCUUAUAAAUGGCACAUUAAAUAUUCAAGUACAAAUAUAUUGUGAUCAUUUCACCUUAUACUGUUAUUAUUUUUCAGUAGUUUUUUUUAAGGAAUGAUAAAGGUAUGAUAACCCCUGCGUGAUCCGGGGGGAAAGGGAUUGUUAGUAAUGGAAAUUGAGAAUCCCAUUGCUAGCAAUAUACCCAACCAGGUUGACCUCUUCGCGGUUCUCCCUGGAAACUAUCAUGGUUAAUUCCUGAUGAAUUCAUCAUGAUGGGCUAACUGACCUGUUUUUAUUUUUAUCUAUCAGCCUUCACUGGUGCUCCGCCAGCGUAUCCCGUUAGCGCAGGCGGGGAUACCAUACUAUUUUCACCCAUAAAAAAAAAAACUCCACCUGCGCUAUCGGUAUACGCUGGCGAGGUAGCAGUGAGUGAUGACAAAUGAGGAUGAAGUCAGUCUAGUUGACCCAUACUGAUGAAUCUCGACAAAAAUCGAUCAGGAUGGUUUCCAGGCGAAACCGCGAGAAGGUCGACCAGAUAUAAUAUUGCUAGCAAUGGCGGAAAUAAAAAAAAAAAUUAGCAAACAAGCAAGUUACUAUUUAAAAUCAUUUUGCUAUGUGGUUCUGCCAUCGAACAGGCAACCCCUUCUUUUUCCGUGGAUGUCGAAUGAGGCGACUAAGGAAACUUAAUGGACGAGACAAUGGGCAACAACCUCCCUCUUAAAACAUCAUUAAAGCCUAAGUGCAGUUGUCAACCUACCUGCCAAACAUGGCAACUACUGGCAAAAUCCCCAAGGGUGUGGCUUAUGUUCAGUAAUGGACACUUAACGGCUGUGAACAAGUCGACGGUCCAUCUGGAGGCCAGAUGAUGCUUAAUAAAGUACUAUUUAAUACUAAUAAUUCCAUUCUAUGUAUAGAACAAAUAAAAAUUAAUAUCACUUGGAAAGCGCCAAACGUAAUCGCAAUGCCAAUCACAACGUUAAGUACCCUACCUCUAUUAAUUGGCAUACGUCAUUAAAAAAGUUUAAAGCAUGCAACACUAUAGACAAUGAAGGUAAAAGUGCCAAUUCUCGUACACUCACAGGUGCAAUAUUGCACUAAUUAAAGCAAUACAGAAAUGACAUGAUUGUUUACUAGCAUUUCUAUUUUUUUUUUCUUUUUUCACUUGGUAAAGGCAAACAAGCUGAUAGGCCACUUAAUGAAAUGAUAACUGUCGCCUACAAUUACAGUAUAACUAGCAACCUGCUUCGUUUACGUGCGGUUUUUUUU